AAAGGAAUAGACGGGGGCCCGCACAAGCGGUGGAGCAUGUGCUUUAAUUCGAUGCAACGCGAAGAACCUUACCUGGGUUUGACAUGGGGAUGAAAGAGUCCAGAGAUGGAUUCCCUUCCGCAAGGAACAUCCUACACAGGUGCUGCAUGGUUGUCGUCAGUUCGUGUCGUGAGAUGUUGGGUUAAGUCCCGCAACGAGCGCAACCCUCGCCCUUAGUUGCCAUCAGGUUAUGCUGGGAACUCUAAGGGGACCGCCUAGUUUAACUAGGAGGAAGGUGGGGAUGACGUCAAAUCAUCAUGGCCCUUACGUCCAGGGCUAGACACGUGCUACAAUGGUCGGUACAACGGGAUGCAAGACGGCGACGUCAAGCUAAUCCCUUAAAACCGAUCUCAGUACGGAUUGAAGUCUGCAAUUCGACUUCAUGAAGCUGGAAUCGCUAGUAAUCGCGGAUCAGCAUGCCGCGGUGAAUACGUUCCCGGGCCUUGUACACACCGCCCGU
RNAcentral lists this ribosomal RNA (499 nucleotides) under uncultured bacterium. RNAcentral's name for it is "bacterial SSU rRNA". It matches the Rfam family "Bacterial small subunit ribosomal RNA", at positions 903 to 1397 of the family's 1533-position model. The record is from RNAcentral.